Small nuclear RNA from Pteronotus mesoamericanus, 104 nucleotides. NCBI's taxonomy places the organism in Eukaryota, Metazoa, Chordata, Mammalia, Chiroptera, Mormoopidae. The record is from RefSeq and is a predicted model, not a curated record.
GUACUCAUUUCAGCAGCACAUAUACUAAAAUUGGAAUAAUACAGAGAAGAUUAGCAUGGCCCCUGGGCAAGGGUGACUUGCAAGUUUGUGAAGUCCAUACUUUU